This 328-nucleotide ribosomal RNA is filed under the name Erythrobacter sp. RNAcentral's name for it is "bacterial SSU rRNA". It matches the Rfam family "Bacterial small subunit ribosomal RNA", at positions 1 to 357 of the family's 1533-position model. The record is from RNAcentral. Lineage: Bacteria; Pseudomonadati; Pseudomonadota; Alphaproteobacteria; Sphingomonadales; Erythrobacteraceae.
AAACUUGAGAGUUUGAUCCUGGCUCAGAACGAACGCUGGCGGCAUGCCUAACACAUGCAAGUCGAACGAAGCCUUCGGGCUUAGUGGCGCACGGGUGCGUAACGCGUGGGAACCUGCCUUUAGGUUCGGAAUAACAGUUAGAAAUGACUGCUAAUACCGGAUAAUGUCUUCGGACCAAAGAUUUAUCGCCUUUAGAUGGGCCCGCGUUGGAUUAGAUAGUUGGUGGGGUAAUGGCCUACCAAGUCGACGAUCCAUAGCUGGUCUGAGAGGAUGAUCAGCCACACUGGGACUGAGACACGGCCCAGACUCCUACGGGAGGCAGCAGUGG